CACGUAGUUAGCCGGGGCUUCCUCCUCAGUACCGUCAUUAUCUUCCUUGAGGACAGAGCUUUACGACCCGAAGGCCUUCAUCGCUCACGCGGCGUUGCUGCAUCAGGCUUUCGCCCAUUGUGCAAUAUUCCCCA
RNAcentral lists this ribosomal RNA (134 nucleotides) under uncultured bacterium. RNAcentral describes it as "partial 16S ribosomal RNA". The record is from RNAcentral.